UGGUGACCUCACCACCUCCCUGGGCAGCCUCUGCCAACACAUUACCACUCUUUGGGAGAAGUUGUUCCUAAUAUCCUACCUGAACCUUUCAUGUUCUAUAGAAGGCAUCCACAGCUUUUCUGCCUUCCAGCAAGGCUAACCCUACCUUUGACUUGCAAUGAUGCAGUGGUCUGUUGAUCCCCUGAGUCACACGUGUAAUCACCCGCAUCCUGAGCCUCGGCAUCGUAGAUGAAGAGCUCGACACGUGUCCCCUCUUGCCGGACCUCAUACUUGUCACCUGAGUGCAGCACCGUAUCUCCUUUCCUCCACUCCACGGGUGCGUUGGGUUUCGUCAGCUCACAGUGCAACAUAACGGUGCGCCCUUCCUCCACCUCCUCGUUUUCCAUCCGGUGUUUGAAAAGCACGGGGAGAGCUUCAAGGGAGGGAGUGAUGCAAAGAGAACAAACAGGCAAAACACAGAUAGAAAAUAGAGGACUGUUUUGUUGACAAGGUACUGGUAAGAACUGGAGCGGUAGUGCCAAUCGUGAAGUUCACGUACAAUUCUGGCUUUGUUUACCCAGGUAAGAGGGAUGUCUAUUUCCAAGCCAGACAGAGGAGGAGAAGGGAUAGAGUUAACCAGCAGGAAAGAAAUCCAAUUCUAUAGGACCUGCAUUUCUUUCCUUAUAUCCUAAAUGUUUUUUCAAAAAGAAUUCCCAACUAAUUUCAAUAAUCUUUUUUGAAGCCCAAAUGGUUUUUCAUCCAAAAAUAAGAAAAUGGAAUGGAUAGAAGUGAUCAAAGAAUACAUUCCUGCUGACCCAAAGCUGUACCAUUUCAAGAACAAUUUCAGACCAUGCAGGAAAGGAUCAGUUAGGGAAUGGUUAAGGCUGGGGGGGGAUCUCUGGAGGUCUUCCAAGGAGGGAAUUCCUCCACCUCUGUGUCACCGCUUCAUCAUGACUACCCCUCAUCACAAAAGACACCAAUGAGAUCCCCCUUCAACCUUCUUCUCCUCAAGCUGAACAAACCCAGCUGCCUCUGCCUCUCCUGAUACUUCACCUCGUCCAGUCCCAUGACAAGCUUUGUGACCUCUGCUCCACUUAUAUCCAUACUAGGAUGCUCCACAGAGCGCAAUGUACUCCUUCAGCUGCUGUCUCAGAGCUGCUGAGCAAAAAGGAAAUCAUACCUUUAACUUCUAGGCUGGCAGUGGUCUUCCCAUCAGCUGUGUGGCAGCUGUAUUCUCCUGAGUCCC
Gallus gallus (chicken) is the source of this 1225-nucleotide long non-coding RNA. RefSeq lists it as uncharacterized. The record is from RefSeq and is a predicted model, not a curated record. Lineage: Eukaryota; Metazoa; Chordata; Aves; Galliformes; Phasianidae. The transcript has 3 exons.